RNAcentral lists this ribosomal RNA (488 nucleotides) under uncultured bacterium. RNAcentral describes it as "partial 16S ribosomal RNA". It matches the Rfam family "Bacterial small subunit ribosomal RNA", at positions 28 to 507 of the family's 1533-position model. The record is from RNAcentral.
GACGAACGCUGGCGGCGUGCUUAACACAUGCAAGUCGAACGGAAAGGCCCUGCUUUUGUGGGGUGCUCGAGUGGCGAACGGGUGAGUAACACGUGAGUAACCUGCCCUUGACUUUGGGAUAACUUCAGGAAACUGGGGCUAAUACCGGAUAGGAGCUCCUGCUGCAUGGUGGGGGUUGGAAAGUUUCGGCGGUUGGGGAUGGACUCGUGGCUUAUCAGCUAGUGGGUGGGGUAAUGGCUUACCAAGGCGUUGACGGGUAGCUGGCCUGAGAGGGUGACCGGCCACACUGGGACUGAGAAACGGCCCAGACUCCUACGGGAGGCAGCAGUGGGGAAUUUUGGACAAUGGGGGCAACCCUGAUCCAGCCAUCCCGCGUGUGCGAUGAAGGCCUUCGGGUUGGAAAGCACUUUUGGCAGGAAAGAAACGUCGCGGGCUAAUACCCCGUGGAACUGACGGUACCUGCAGAAUAAGCACCGGCUAACUACGUG